Molecule: long non-coding RNA, 684 nt
Filed under: Triticum aestivum (bread wheat)
Lineage: Eukaryota; Viridiplantae; Streptophyta; Magnoliopsida; Poales; Poaceae
Description: long non-coding RNA (TAES_LNC016327)
Source: RNAcentral
UUUUUCGCACUUUUUCGUUAGAUAUUAUGAUCCCAAAGUCUCCAUCCACAGACUAAUUCAGUAUAAUCUCUGUGUCAGCUACAAUUAUACACGGUCUAACCAGGAUACAAACCUAGAGCAGCACAACAACACAAAAUAAAUAUACUAAAAGACUAAAUUAAUGGGGAUAACUAAGGCAUUGAAAAACUAAAGCUGAACAAUAAUUAUAAUGUGUGUGUGUGUGUGUGUGAAAAUUCCAGAAAAGCAUAUGGAAAAGUAUAAAAGUCAAAAGAUGUAUUUUUUGUCUAGGAAGAAACAUUUAAUACACAGGAAAUUAUCAAAUUUUAAAUAAGUUAGGCCCAUCUUAGUAUAAGAAAGGGUGACACGAAAAGAAGGCGAAAGAAGGUGUACCUGCGGUUUUCUCUAGUGCACGGGCCACUUGAUUUAGAGAUAUCCUCUCUAUAGUACUUGUUCAUAGUCUGGCCUGGUAAGAAAGCAGGGUGGAAAACUAAAGGUUUGUGGGCUAUUUGUCGCCUGCCCGCCACCACCAAAUCAGGGGAAGACCCCGCAGCCGCCGCAAAUCGCUGGGCCACAGGGGGCGGUGAAGGGUGAAAGCUCCGACAGUGGCCAUCGCACGAUAAAUAAAGGCAGAAAAAAAACUCAAAUUAGCGGAUCUUCAUACCCACUGCUAUAGAUUCAAAUAAC